This 1893-nucleotide long non-coding RNA is filed under the name Homo sapiens (human). RNAcentral describes it as "non-protein coding MAGI2-AS3:28". The record is from RNAcentral. Lineage: Eukaryota; Metazoa; Chordata; Mammalia; Primates; Hominidae.
CUGUGUAGAGAGGUUUCAUGUCUUCAUCUAUAUAGUCACUUAUUUGUCUUAAAGUUCUCGAAAUUCCCUCUUAGAGAAGGAGAAAGUUAGAGAACUGGAGGCUGCGUACCCUGAUUACGCAGAAGGGAAGCAGCCUCGCAUUCCCCGGGGCAGGCCCCCGCCCGCGCGUCCCGCCAGUAGGGGAAUUUAGCGGACGGCUGCGGUUGUCUGGUGAAAGGCUAUCCAAGGAUAAGGGGCUUCACUUUUCCCAAGUAGGGGAAAGAGAAGGGGUCUACAGGGCUAGGGGUGGAGGGAGCGGAUGCAGUGAGCAGCCUCCGCAGAGAAAUUGACAAUUUAACCAGGGACCUGCGGCAGAGACAAGGCGGAGACACUCCCUUGCCCAGGAAAGCCGCCAGAGUCCGGCUUGUACCUGGGGAAGAAUCCUUAAGACGGUCUGGCCCAACACUCCUUUGCUCACAGAGAAAGGGGAGAAGACUCCCGAGGGUGAAAAUGGUACAUUCGGAGCUGGAACUCAGCUCGCUGACCCCAAGCAGUGUUCCCUUCUUUUCGCCAGGUUUGCAUCCAAGAGAGGGGAGGACAGGGGCAAAAGGAUGCAGGGAGGCUGCUGAUUUCCACUGAAGAGCUAAUUUCCUGUGAGACAUUAACAGUGAUUUAAGAAAAAGAUUCCUGUAACUGUAAUGUCUUACAAUAACAGAAUGCAGGAGAGCACAUAUCAAUGAAGAAAAGACAAAAUGUACUUAUCCAUGAAGCUGAGGUUAAGAAACCAGUGUCUUCAAGAGCCAGGGACAGCACUGGGUCUGUGCAGAGUUGAGAGAUGGUGAUGACAUGUGGUUUCCAGCAUUCCUCACCCAGUCCAGGGACACUGUGGGUGUGCCCAGCUUAAGUCCAGUAACUGGAAAUACAAGCCCAAGUUCUGGAGAGUUUGAGCUGCAGAGAUAUAUAUGGGAACACUUUGAAUCUUGACUCAUUGGCCAUAACCAGCAGAGUGGAAAAUACAAGAAGAGAAAAAAACAUUGAACUGCGAUUUUAUAACAUCCUUUACUAGGCAGAGAGAAGAGGAAACACCAGGAAAGAAAACUGUAUUACGAUGUGAAAACUUAAUGUUGAGAAAUUCAGGCAUCUUGGGGUUAGUGAGGAGAAGUUUUAGGGGCUUAGAUUCUUCUAAACACAUGUACAGAAAUGCAUAUUUCAUCUGAUAUCAAAUGGCAUUUAUAGUGCUAAUCUUUACCUCAAGACUUCACAUCUUUUGGUGAUUGCAUCUUUUAGGUUUAUAGCAGCUAAGUUUGCAUGAAAACACCAGGGCUGUUUCAUUUCAGUCAAGAAUUAAUGUUCAUUGAUUGUGCUUCUGCAUUUCAUGUAACUAUUGUAGAAUUUGUUUUAGUUUUAUGAGGGAAUAAUUGUUCCAACUUCUAUAUAACUCAGGAAUUUACUCUCAAACAACACUGUCAAUUAGUUACUUAUCUCUCUGGAAAUGAUCUGGGAACAUGGAGAGGAAAGGGAGGAAGGGGCAAAAUCUGACCACUUAAAUCUAAGCAUAUUAGAUCAUUUUAUGCUAGAAAGUCCUGAAUGAUGUGACUUUCGUUCUUGUAAAACACCUCUUUCCAUAGAUUCAUGGCCCAAACAGUAUAUAAAGAGUGGGGAAGGAACUGCAUUUGCAAAUAGUUCAAAUCAUUGCUCCAUCUUAACUACGCAGUUCACAAAGUGUGAAGAAAUGUGAUCAUCUCAAAAAAGAUAAUGGGGAAAAAAUAUGUUUUGUUCUGUGACUUUAAAGUCUUGCAAUAUUUUACAUAAAUGAUAAUGGGUGCUUUAAUAAGAACUCUUGAUACUUUUGUUAUUGUAUUCAAUAUAUGCAUAUAAUACAACAGGAUGAUAUUGUUUUGGAUUUGGAAAUGU